GAUCUGGCUCAGAUUGAACGCUGGCGGCAGGCCUAACACAUGCAAGUCGAACGGUAACAGGAAACAGCUUGCUGUUCGCUGACGAGUGGCGGACGGGUGAGUAAUGUCUGGGAAACUGCCUGAUGGAGGGGGAUAACGUACUGGAAACGGUAGCUAAUACCGCAUAACGUCGCAAGACCAAAGAGGGGGACCCUCGGGCCUCUUGCCAUCGGAUGUGCCCAGAUGGGAUUAGCUUGUUGGUGGGUAACGGCUCACCUAGGCGACGAUCCCUAGCUGGUCUGAGAGGAUGACCAGCCACACUGGAACUGAGACACGGUCCAGACUCCUACGGGAGGCAGCAGUGGGGAAUAUUGCACAAUGGGCGCAAGCCUGAUGCAGCCAUGCCGCGUGUAUGAAGAAGGCCUUCGGGUUGUAAAGUACUUUCAGCGGGGAGGAAGGGAGUAAAGUUAAUACCUUUGCUCAUUGACGUUACCCGCAGAAGAAGCACCGGCUAACUCCGUG
RNAcentral lists this ribosomal RNA (501 nucleotides) under uncultured bacterium. RNAcentral describes it as "bacterial SSU rRNA". It matches the Rfam family "Bacterial small subunit ribosomal RNA", at positions 15 to 507 of the family's 1533-position model. The record is from RNAcentral.